RNAcentral lists this ribosomal RNA (401 nucleotides) under uncultured Blastocladiomycota. Its description in RNAcentral is "partial small subunit ribosomal RNA". It matches the Rfam family "Eukaryotic small subunit ribosomal RNA", at positions 30 to 432 of the family's 1831-position model. Lineage: Eukaryota; Fungi; Blastocladiomycota. The record is from RNAcentral.
GCUUGUCUCAAAGAUUAAGCCAUGCAUGUCUCAGCAUAAGCCUUUUCACGGUGAAACUGCAAAUGGCUCAUUAAAGCAGUUACAAUUUAUUUGAUGGUGACUGUUACAUGGAUAACUGUGGUAAUUCUAAAGCUAAUACAUGCGUCAAGUCCCAACUUGAUGGAAGGGCUGUGCUUAUUAGAUACAAAACCAACCCGGGCAACCGGUCCUUUGGUGAUUCAUGAUAACUUUGCGAAUCGCAUAGCUUUAAUGCUGGCGAUGGGUCAUUCAAAUUUCUGCCCUAUCAACUUUCGACGGUAGGAUAGAGGCCUACUGUGGUGAUAACGGGUAACGAAGAAUAAGGGUUCGAUUUCGGAGAGGGAGCCUGAGAAACGGCUACCACAUCCAAGGAAGGCAGCAGG